This 690-nucleotide ribosomal RNA is filed under the name uncultured Enterococcus sp. RNAcentral describes it as "bacterial SSU rRNA". It matches the Rfam family "Bacterial small subunit ribosomal RNA", at positions 73 to 749 of the family's 1533-position model. The record is from RNAcentral. Lineage: Bacteria; Bacillati; Bacillota; Bacilli; Lactobacillales; Enterococcaceae.
CUUCGGUUCACCGAGAAAUGGGAGUGGCGAACGGGUGAGUAACACGUGGGUAACCUACCCAUCAGCGGGGGAUAACACUUGGAAACAGGUGCUAAUACCGCACAAUUCUUUUCUUCGCCUGGAGGAAAGAUGAAAGACGCUUUUGCGUCACUGAUGGAUGGACCCGCGCUGCAUUAGCUAGUUGGUGAGGUAACGGCUCACCAAGGCAACGAUGCAUAGCCGACCUGAGAGGGUGAUCGGCCACAUUGGGACUGAGACACGGCCCAAACUCCUACGGGAGGCAGCAGUAGGGAAUCUUCGGCAAUGGACGCAAGUCUGACCGAGCAACGCCGCGUGAGUGAAGAAGGUUUUCGGAUCGUAAAACUCUGUUGUUAGAGAAGAACAAGGAUGAGAGUAGAAUGUUCAUCCCUUGACGGUAUCUAACCAGAAAGCCACGGCUAACUACGUGCCAGCAGCCGCGGUAAUACGUAGGUGGCAAGCGUUGUCCGGAUUUAUUGGGCGUAAAGCGAGCGCAGGCGGUUUCUUAAGUCUGAUGUGAAAGCCCCCGGCUUAACCGGGGAGGGUCAUUGGAAACUGGGAGACUUGAGUGCAGAAGAGGAGAGUGGAAUUCCAUGUGUAGCGGUGAAAUGCGUAGAUAUAUGGAGGAACACCAGUGGCGAAGGCGACUCUCUGGUCUGUAACUGACGCUGA